RNAcentral lists this ribosomal RNA (393 nucleotides) under uncultured bacterium. RNAcentral's name for it is "partial 16S ribosomal RNA". It matches the Rfam family "Bacterial small subunit ribosomal RNA", at positions 523 to 918 of the family's 1533-position model. The record is from RNAcentral.
AUACGGAGGAUCCAAGCGUUAUCCGGAUUUAUUGGGUUUAAAGGGUGCGCAGGCGGGAUAAUAAGUCAGUGGUGAAAGUUUGCAGCUUAACUGUAAAAUUGCCGUUGAAACUGUUAUUCUUGAGUGCAGACAAGGUAGGCGGAAUGUAUUGUGUAGCGGUGAAAUGCUUAGAUAUAAUACAGAACCCCGAUUGCGAAGGCAGCUUACCGGACUGUAACUGACGCUCAGGCACGAAAGCGUGGGGAUCAAACAGGAUUAGAUACCCUGGUAGUCCACGCAGUAAACGAUGAAUACUAGCUGUUCGCGAUAUACAGCGAGUGGCACAGCGAAAGCGUUAAGUAUUCCACCUGGGGAGUACGUUCGCAAGAAUGAAACUCAAAGGAAUUGACGGGG